RNAcentral lists this small nuclear RNA (191 nucleotides) under Pelobates cultripes (western spadefoot toad). It matches the Rfam family "U2 spliceosomal RNA". From Rfam's summary of the family: U2 is a small nuclear RNA (snRNA) component of the spliceosome (involved in pre-mRNA splicing). Complementary binding between U2 snRNA (in an area lying towards the 5' end but 3' to hairpin I) and the branchpoint sequence (BPS) of the intron results the bulging out of an unpaired adenosine, on the BPS, which initiates a nucleophilic attack at the intronic 5' splice site, thus starting the first of two transesterification reactions that mediate splicing. Lineage: Eukaryota; Metazoa; Chordata; Amphibia; Anura; Pelobatidae. The record is from RNAcentral.
AUCGCUUCUCGGCCUUUUGGCUAAGAUCAAGUGUAGUAUCUGUUCUUAUCAGUUUAAUAUCUGAUACGUCCCCUAUCUGGGGACCAUAUAUUAAAUGGAUUUUUGGGACAGGGAGAUGGGAGAAGAGCUUGCUCUGUCCACUCCACGCAUUGACCUGGUAUUGCAGUACCUCCAGGACCGGUGCACCUCUC